GACGAACGCUGGCGGCGUGCUUAACACAUGCAAGUCGAACGGAAAGGCCCUGCUUUUGUGGGGUGCUCGAGUGGCGAACGGGUGAGUAACACGUGAGUAACCUGCCCUUGACUUUGGGAUAACUUCAGGAAACUGGGGCUAAUACCGGAUAGGAGCUCCUGCUGCAUGGGGGGGGUUGGAAAGUUUCGGCGGUUGGGGAUGGACUCGCGGCUUAUCAGCUUGUUGGUGGGGUAGUGGCUUACCAAGGCUUUGACGGGUAGCCGGCCUGAGAGGGUGACCGGCCACAUUGGGACUGCGAUACGGCCCAGACGCCUACGGGAGGCAGAAGUGGGGAAUCUUGCACAAUGGGCGGAAGCCUGAUGCAGCAACGCCGCGUGCGGGAUGACGUCCUUCGGGUUGUAAACCGCUUUCGCCUGUGACGAAGCGUGAGUGACGGUAACGGGUAAAGAAGCACCGGCUAACUACGUG
RNAcentral lists this ribosomal RNA (468 nucleotides) under uncultured bacterium. Its description in RNAcentral is "partial 16S ribosomal RNA". It matches the Rfam family "Bacterial small subunit ribosomal RNA", at positions 28 to 507 of the family's 1533-position model. The record is from RNAcentral.